Molecule: long non-coding RNA, 2624 nt
Organism: Calidris pygmaea (Spoon-billed sandpiper)
Lineage: Eukaryota; Metazoa; Chordata; Aves; Charadriiformes; Scolopacidae
Source: Ensembl
CUAGGCCCCUCAUCAUCUUUGUAGCCCUUUGCUGCACCCUCUCCAGCAGGUUCCCUGCCCUUCUUCAACUGGGGAGCCCAGAACUGUUCAAGAAGGACAGGGAAACAUAUCACCAGCCAUGGUGGGGAAGGAACCUGUGCCUGUUUCUGCCAUCUUUUCCCUUCCCCGACCCUCUUUUCUGCCCCACUGGCCCGGCCCUACAGAUUUACCCGUCGGGGAUCCCGGAGGACCAGCUGAAGCUGUUGGGGCCGCUGUCCCGCCAGUACACGGCGGAGGAGAUCAGCCAGUGGCAGGUGACGUCCAACGACACGCUCUCAGCCCUGCUCAACCCCUCGGAUGGCAAGUGGAAGGCUCCCCAGGUAAAGCUCCAGCAGCAGCGGGGCAGGGGGGCUGGUGAACCCAAACCGGGACCACUCGGUGCCCAAGCCCAUCUUGGGGUGAGGGCAGUGCCCGAGGGCGGCUCGGGGGUUUUGCAGCACACACAUUUCUACCGGCAGCAUCUUCCUUCCCUGCCUGCGUGCAACCACGACAACUGUGUUUCCCAGGUCCAGCAGCUGCUCGGCAGGUACCAGGCCCUGGGGGGCACCUUGACUGGGUCCUUGCUCCGGGAACUGGGUGGAAGAAACCUGUGUAACCUGCAGGAGGAGCAGAUCGAGCACAUACCUCCAGAAGCAAUCAGGACUGCAGGACAAUUAGACAUUUCUUCUUGUUCCCAAACCAAGAAGGACCAGCUCUACAGAAAAGCCCAGGAGGCCUUUGCUGGCCAGGCUGGCACCACCAGGGCGUAUUAUUGCCAGAUUUGGCCGUACCUGGGUGGAGCUCCAGCAAAGGACCUGAAAGACUUGGCUAAAGCUGGCGUUGCCAUAGACAUGGACAUCGACACCUUCCUUGCCCUAAAUCCCGAUGAGCUGCAGAAACUCAGUGUGGUGGACGUGAAAUCUUUGCUUGGGGAAAACCUCCGUUACCUGAAGGAAGCUGAAAAUGAGACCUCGGUGAUGCGCUGGGUGAAGAGACAGUCCCAACGGGAACUGGACUGUGUCCUGGGAAUUGGCCUGCAAGGGGGGAUAGGGGACCCCAGCCCCACGGCCACCCCUCCUCACCCCACCACCUCGGCCAGUAUCACCCCCACGGCCACCGUCUCUGUGCCCACCACCUUCCCCACCGUCCCCACCCCUACUGCCAUUAGCAGCCUCCCCACCACUAAUUCAAGCACCAUCCCCGACAAGGCCCCCACCCCAAGUGCUAUCAGCCCGACCCCCCCUCACAGCACUCCCCCACAGACUUCCACCACUGCCCCCAGUUCUGCUGGGAGUCCCCCUGCCGCCUCCACCACCCAACCUGCUCUGACCACCGGCUCCAUUGUCCUAUGCUCCAUCCACCAGUCUGCCACCCCAAAUAAGGUCACCCCCCCUGCUGCCACCCUCCUCACCACCAUCCUUGCCACUGUCAACCCCAACGCCACCUCUCCCAGCUCCGUCCCACCCCCUGCUCUCACACAUGGGGCCACCACCACCAGCGUUGUUACUAACCCAGCUCUUACCACCCCCAACACCAGUACCCCACUGGUGUCCAUGAACCCCCCAGCACCUGGGGGUACCAUCAACCCUGCUCCUGCCACCCGUAACACCACCACACCAAGCAACCACAGUGCUCCUAGCACCCUUGUCCCUAAAUCCACUUCUGCACCCACUGCCACCACAACCACAGAAAUGACCCUCCCUCCCCACAAGCCCUCCCCGACUCCCAACUCCAGUGUCUCCACCCAAGAGAGUGUCCUCUCCUCCACGGCCAAGACUACAACAUUGGCUUGCAAGACCAGUGCUCCUCCAGCAUUUCUUGGCUCCUCUUCCACCACCACCAGCAGUGAGACCACUAAAAACCCACCCGCAGGCGUGCCAGAGCCACCAAGACCAACACCCGGUGGAUACAUCAACCUGCAACCUGAAGCUGGAUCAGGAUCCAGACUCUCCUCCUGCCUGGUGCCCGUACUGACGACAGCCUCACUGCUGCGAGGGCUUCUCUGACACGGCCACCUCCAGCCCCAAACUCACUGGAUCCCUCCUUUCGUUUUCACCAUCCUGCAAAAGAACGGUGCUGGCAAAUUCCCUGCGGAAACAGCAGAAACCCAGGAAAGGAAUAGCAUUUGGCCAUUUGAUACCAGCACAGAAUUUACUUAUUAAUUUUGAGGCCGGGCAGUGAAAGGAGGACAGAUGUUUUUCCAGCCCAACAGGUACUUGGUAGCUAGUUGUUGUCUGUAAUACAAUCACCAGCAGCACUGGCUGGUCUGAAUAUGCAUUAACGCAGACAGCGGGCCCAGUUCUGCCAGCUCGCCUUGCACUUUUCCUUCUAAGCAGUCCCACUGGGAUCUGUUGAAACAGUGGGACAAACUCAGGGAUUUGAGUUACUGGCCACUGCAGAAGCAGCAGAAUAUGGCCCAGCAACAUCUGCUCAGAGAUCCACUAAAUUACAUUUAACUUGUUUUAUGAACUUACGAGACUUAUGAUCAAGAUUUGUUCAAGCUACGCCAAGCCUAGUUUAAGGGAUGAUUAACUGAGGAUAGUUUGUCUUGAUUACUGUUGCAAUGCUCUAUAAUAAAACAUCAAUCAACUUUUUUUUCCUAAUCA